RNAcentral lists this transfer RNA (69 nucleotides) under Delichon urbicum (Northern house-martin). RNAcentral's name for it is "tRNA-Ala". The record is from RNAcentral. Lineage: Eukaryota; Metazoa; Chordata; Aves; Passeriformes; Hirundinidae.
AAGGCUCUAGCUUAAUUAAAGUUUCUGGGUUGCAUCUAGAAGAUGCAGGGUAGUAUCCUGCGAGUCUUA